This 506-nucleotide ribosomal RNA is filed under the name uncultured bacterium. Its description in RNAcentral is "partial 16S ribosomal RNA". It matches the Rfam family "Bacterial small subunit ribosomal RNA", at positions 28 to 523 of the family's 1533-position model. The record is from RNAcentral.
GAUGAACGCUAGCUACGGGCUUAACACAUGCAAGUCGAGGGGUAACAAGAGAAAAGCUUGCUUUUCUUGUUGACGACCGGCGCACGGGUGAGUAACGCGUAUCCAACCUGCCUAUAACUAGGGAAUAACCUUGCGAAAGUAAGACUAAUACCCUAUGAUUUCCUUUGAUGACAUCAGAUUAGGAAUAAAGAUUUAUCGGUUAUAGAUGGGGAUGCGUCUGAUUAGCUUGUUGGCGGGGUAACGGCCCACCAAGGCAACGAUCAGUAGGGGUUCUGGGAGGAAGGUCCCCCAGAUUGGAACUGAGACACGGUCCAAACUCCUACGGAAGGCAGCAGUGAGGAAUAUUGGUCAAUGGGCGGAAGCCUGAGCCAGCCAAGUAGCGUGCAGGAUGACGGCCCUAUGGGUUGUAAACUGCUUUUAUACAGGAAUAAAGUUAGCCACGUGUGGUUAUUUGUAGGUACUGUAUGAAUAAGGACCGGCUAAUUCCGUGCCAGCAGCCGCCGUAA